RNAcentral lists this long non-coding RNA (685 nucleotides) under Homo sapiens (human). Its description in RNAcentral is "LHRI_LNC45.2". Lineage: Eukaryota; Metazoa; Chordata; Mammalia; Primates; Hominidae. The record is from RNAcentral.
AUACAGCAGUAGGGACUAUCUGUAUUAGGAAUAAGAACCCUUUCCCCUCCCUUAUCCAGUGUGCCCUUGCCAUUGCUCCAUCUGCAAGACUCACCCUUCUAUAGAAGUAAAUUUGCCUUGCUGGAGUGUUAACUUGUUGUUGGAGUGCUAACUCUUCUUUGUGGCACCAAAAAGUUAUUUCCAACACGAAGCUGCACCCUUGGUGGAGGGAACAUCUGACGAAGUUCAAUGUUUGGGGAAAACAAUAUCUGGAAAGAUUGAAGAGUCAGCAGGAGAAACACCUAGGAAAAUUACAAGGCCUGUGAAAGAAACAUCUGAGAAAUUUGCAUGGCCACAAGAAAGACCUACAAAGACCACAUGGGAGGAAAAAGAAACAUCUGUAAAGACUGAAUGCGUGGCAGGAGUAACAUCUAAUAAAACUGAAGUUUUGGAAGAAGGAACAUCUAAGAUGAUCACAUGUCCUACAAAAAAACAGCUACAAAAGCAAGUACACAUGGAAGGAUGCAUUAGUCUUUCACCUGUUCAGUAUGAUGUUGGCUGAGGAUUUGUCUCAUAUGGCUGUUAUUAUUUUGAGGUAUGUUCCUUCAAUGCCUAGUUUUUUGAGAAUUUUUUUCAUAAAUAGAUAUUACAUUUUAUUAAUUGCUAUUUCCACAUCUAUUGAGGUAAUGUGGUUUUGUUUUUUAAU